GAUGAAGAACGCAGCGAAAUGCGAUACGUAAUGUGAAUUGCAGUAUUCAGUAAAUCAUCGAAUCUUUGAACGCAUAUUGCGCUCUCUGGUAUUCCGGAGAGCAUGCUUGUUUGAGUAUCAGUAAACACCUCAACUCCCUUUUCUUUUUUGAAAUGGGAGCUGGACUUGAGUGAUCCCAACACUUUUCUCACUGGAAAGUGGCGGGUCACUUGAAAUGCAGGUGCAGCUGGACUUUUCUCUGAGCUAUAAGCAUAUCUAUUUAGUCUGCCUAAAAAACAGAUUAUUACCUUUGCUGCAGCUAACAUAAAGGAGAUGAGUUCUUGUGCUGACUGAUGCAGGAUUCACAGAGACAGCUUUGCGGCUGACUUUGUAAACUCGAUCUCAAAUCAAGUAAGACUACCCGCUGAACUUAAGCAUAUCAAUAAGCGGAGGA
Molecule: unclassified non-coding RNA, 433 nt
Filed under: soil metagenome
Description: partial contains 5.8S ribosomal RNA, internal transcribed spacer 2, and large subunit ribosomal RNA
Rfam family: 5.8S ribosomal RNA (bases 1-120)
Source: RNAcentral